AGAAUCGGGAGAGUUCCCGGUGGGCCGCUUCAUUUCUGGGCCGGUCGAGAAUUUUAUUUGUUGACAUUUGUCACGUUAGUCCAUCUUCUCUUAAAGUGGGCUACACACGUUCAGCAUUCUGACACCGCAGCCUCUGCAUGGGUUGUACCAUGCGAGGAACUUCACCCCUCCCAAAUAAUAGAGUUGGUUCAGUCCAUUAUGGAACUCAACCAACUCAAUUUGGGAGAGGAGAACUUCACCCCUCCAAAAUAGAGUUGGUUCGGUCCUUAGCCGUCUUUUCCAAAAGUUUUCUCAGCUACGGAUAGCUGGGCCGGCCCGACCGCAACGAUCGCGUCAGGGAGGAUGGACGGGAGGAAGAGGGCCAGGUUGAAAAAAAGAAAGGCAUUGGAGGAGUAUGCUGCCAAAUGUGCCAAGCUUACAGAUUUAUUUUCAAGAGGACAAACACAAGUGGCAACUGCUUCGGAGCAGCAGAUAAGACAGUCUCCUGCUGAAAAUGAUGAGCCCGACAUUUGCAAUGAGGCCAUGACGACAGGGACAGGUAGAGAGGAUAACAGUGGACACUAUAUGAAUUAAAGUUAUAUAUUCUAAGAAAGAGCAGUACAGUACUUGAUGAACCAAUAUGCUUUUUUUACUCAGAAGUGGGUGUAGUAAAGGAGUAAGUCACCACUAUAUAAUACUCAUGCAGAAAAAUGACAAUGACCAUGACAAUGACCAUGACAAUGACGGCUCCCAUGAGGUCUCACUCCAACAAAUCUGGCCUACUGCCUAAUCUGAGUCUGACACCCCUGCUACGCCCUUCUGCCUUUUUUAAUGUUGUGCAUAUUUUUUGUUAACUUCUCAUCUUAAGUGGAUUAUUAUUGUUGUAUUUAACCGUUACAUUAUUUGUUGGACCAUGGUAUUAAUAAAAGAACUACAGGAUAGUAAGAGCUGAA
Long non-coding RNA from Pseudoliparis swirei, 932 nucleotides. RefSeq lists it as uncharacterized. The record is from RefSeq and is a predicted model, not a curated record. The transcript is spliced from 2 exons. NCBI's taxonomy places the organism in Eukaryota, Metazoa, Chordata, Actinopteri, Perciformes, Liparidae.